GUAAAACCACCAUACCUUGAUCGACUCCUCAGCUGCUUUAUGUUUCUUCUUGGGCUUUGCUGUUGUUGUUGGGUCUUGAUGAUCUGAGCAAUUGUUUGUCAAUGGAGGUCCACAAAGAUCUCUGUUCCCACCAUAUAUUGAUGGAUCAUCAAUAAGGGUCUGCAAUUGAUGGCCUGUUGGAAUUCUUCCCCACAAGUUGUUGUGUGACAGAUUCAAAUGACUCAAAAAAAUCAAAGUUGCCAUGCUUGGAGGGAUCAUCCCGGUCAACUCAUUGUUUGAGAAAUCAAGAGAAAAUAAUGCCGUCAAGUUUCCAAUGGUGUCUGGAAUAUUCCCACUGAGAUGAUUAUUAGACAAAUUGAGACCCACCAACAUAGAAAGUGCAGUUAUCUCUUUAGGUAUUUCUCCUACGAGUUUAUUGCUUGAAAGGUCCAUGUUAUAAACUAUAUCCAAAAUUCUUGUUUAUUCAAGAUCAACACCUUUCAUAACCUGAAUCACAUUCUCAUUAGAAUCAUCACCACCAUUACUGUCAUACCACUUUUCUGCACCAUUAACCAUUGCAUUCAACUCUCUUAGGCAAUGAGGGAUGAUACCCGUUAAGUUGUUGUAUGCAACAUCCAAAAUUUGAAGAUUUGACAUUUUGCAUAAAGAUUCAGGAAUUUCCCCGGUAAAGUUAUUCUUGUGUAAUCUUAAAACAAUCAAACUUGUCAGAUUUUAAUUUGAGUUCCCAUGAGAUUCAAUUUCAUUAUAAUCUAAUCUGACAUCUAAACAACACCUAUAUUACAAAUGUCAUACAUAUAUAAAAUCCAAAUAGUAGCAUAAAUAAGCACAAUAGGUGUAUUAAGAAGUAAAACAAUCAUAACUAAUAUACACUUAAGAAAUAUUGUCAAUGGUUUCCUCCACAAACGUGAAAAGCUUCUGUCUCCACUGCUUCAUGAACAACAAAAGUCCAAUAACACCCCAAAACCCUGUUGCAAAACCACACGUUACAUCUACGUAAUACCAUGUCUUCAACCAUGCUUUGGUAGGCGCAUCAGUUUGUUUGUAUUUCUUCUUGGGCAUUGUUAUUGUUGUUGUUGUUGUUUGGUCUUCAUGCUUUGAGCAAUUGUUUGUCAAUGGAGGUCCACAAAGAUCUCUGUUCCCACCAUAUAUUGAUGGAUCAUCAAUAAGGGUCUGCAACUGAUGGCCUGUUGGAAUUCUUCCCCACAAGUUGUUGUGUGACAGAUUCAAA
Molecule: long non-coding RNA, 1228 nt
Filed under: Lactuca sativa (garden lettuce)
Lineage: Eukaryota; Viridiplantae; Streptophyta; Magnoliopsida; Asterales; Asteraceae
Description: long non-coding RNA (LSAT_LNC008721)
Source: RNAcentral